RNAcentral lists this ribosomal RNA (501 nucleotides) under uncultured bacterium. RNAcentral describes it as "partial 16S ribosomal RNA". It matches the Rfam family "Bacterial small subunit ribosomal RNA", at positions 29 to 523 of the family's 1533-position model. The record is from RNAcentral.
AUUGAACGCUGGCGGCAUGCCUUACACAUGCAAGUCGAACGGCAGCACGGGUGCUUGCACCUGGUGGCGAGUGGCGAACGGGUGAGUAAUACAUCGGAACGUACCUUAUCGUGGGGGAUAACGCAGCGAAAGCUGAGCUAAUACCGCAUACGCCCUGAGGGGGAAAGCGGGGGAUCGAAAGACCUCGCGCGAUUAGAGCGGCCGAUGCCUGAUUAGCUUGUUGGUGGGGUAAAAGCCCACCAAGGCGACGAUCAGUAGCUGGUCUGAGAGGACGAUCAGGCACACUGGGACUGAGAAACGGCCCAGGCUCCAACGGGAGGCAGCAGUGGGGAAUUUUGAACAAUGGGGGCAACCCUGAUCCAGCAAUGCCGGGUGAGUGAAGAAGGCCUUCGGGUUGUAAAGCUCUUUUGUCGGGGAAGAACCACCGGCUCUAACACAGUCCGGGAAUGACGGUACCUGAAGAAUAAGCACCGGCUAACUACGUGCCAGCAGCCGCCGUAA